This 593-nucleotide ribosomal RNA is filed under the name Debaryomyces hansenii. Its description in RNAcentral is "LSU rRNA". It matches the Rfam family "Eukaryotic large subunit ribosomal RNA", at positions 65 to 674 of the family's 3401-position model. Lineage: Eukaryota; Fungi; Ascomycota; Pichiomycetes; Serinales; Debaryomycetaceae. The record is from RNAcentral.
CCUACGGGUNAUGCCCUUAGUACGGCGAGUGAAGCGGCAAAAGCUCAAAUUUGAAAUCUGGCACCUUCGGUGUCCGAGUUGUAAUUUGAAGAAGGUAACUUUGGAGUUGGCUCUUGUCUAUGUUCCUUGGAACAGGACGUCACAGAGGGUGAGAAUCCCGUGCGAUGAGAUGCCCAAUUCUAUGUAAAGUGCUUUCGAAGAGUCGAGUUGUUUGGGAAUGCAGCUCUAAGUGGGUGGUAAAUUCCAUCUAAAGCUAAAUAUUGGCGAGAGACCGAUAGCGAACAAGUACAGUGAUGGAAAGAUGAAAAGAACUUUGAAAAGAGAGUGAAAAAGUACGUGAAAUUGUUGAAAGGGAAGGGCUUGAGAUCAGACUUGGUAUUUUGCGAUCCUUUCCUUCUUGGUUGGGUUCCUCGCAGCUUACUGGGCCAGCAUCGGUUUGGAUGGUAGGAUAAUGACUAAGGAAUGUGGCUCUACUUCGGUGGAGUGUUAUAGCCUUGGUUGAUACUGCCUGUCUAGACCGAGGACUGCGUCUUUUGACUAGGAUGUUGGCAUAAUGAUCUUAAGCCACCCGUCUGAACAACAGACAAAAAAAA